Molecule: small nucleolar RNA, 130 nt
Organism: Mesocricetus auratus (golden hamster)
Lineage: Eukaryota; Metazoa; Chordata; Mammalia; Rodentia; Cricetidae
Source: Ensembl
GGGGUGUUCUCAGAGCAGGGGCCUAGAGAAUGGCUUCUCUGUUUACAAUACACCCAAGAGGAAUCUGGGGCAUUGUAAUGAGGGGCAGGCACAGCACUGCAUCUUCUCUGUGAGCAGAUCCCUUACAUGC